RNAcentral lists this ribosomal RNA (224 nucleotides) under uncultured bacterium. RNAcentral's name for it is "partial 16S ribosomal RNA". It matches the Rfam family "Bacterial small subunit ribosomal RNA", at positions 943 to 1167 of the family's 1533-position model. The record is from RNAcentral.
GGUUUAAUUCGAAGCAACGCGAAGAACCUUACCAAGUCUUGACAUCCCGGUGACCGGACAGUAAUGUGUCCUUUUCUUCGGAACACCGGUGACAGGUGGUGCAUGGUUGUCGUCAGCUCGUGUCGUGAGAUGUUGGGUUAAGUCCCGCAACGAGCGCAACCCUUAUCCCCAGUAGCCAGCAUUUUGGAUGGGCACUCUGAGGAGACUGCCAGGGAUAACCUGGA